AGCAGCCGCGGUAAUUCCAGCUCCAAUAGCGUAUAUUAAAGUUGUUGCAGUUAAAAAGCUCGUAGUUGAAUUUCGGGGUUAGCAGGUCGGUCGUGCCAUCGGUAUGAACUGGUCUCGCUGAUCCCUCCCUCUUGACGAACUGUGAUGCCAUUAAUUUGGUGUCGCAGGGAAUCAGGACUGUUACUUUGAAAAAUUAGAGUGUUUAAAGCAGGCUCACGCUUGAAUACAUUAGCAUGGAAUAAUGAAAUAGGACGUUUGAUCCUAUUUUGUUGGCUUCUAGGAUUGACGUAAUGAUUAAUAGGGAUAGUUGGGGCAUUAGUAUUCAAUUGUCAGAGUGAAAUUCUUGGAUUUAUUG
Molecule: ribosomal RNA, 355 nt
Filed under: uncultured Glomus
Lineage: Eukaryota; Fungi; Glomeromycota; Glomeromycetes; Glomerales; Glomeraceae
Description: SSU rRNA
Rfam family: Eukaryotic small subunit ribosomal RNA
Source: RNAcentral